Molecule: ribosomal RNA, 497 nt
Filed under: uncultured bacterium
Lineage: Bacteria
Description: partial 16S ribosomal RNA
Rfam family: Bacterial small subunit ribosomal RNA
Source: RNAcentral
GAUGAACGCUGGCGGCGUGCCUAAUACAUGCAAGUCGAGCGAACAGACGAGGAGCUUGCUCCUCUGACGUUAGCGGCGGACGGGUGAGUAACACGUGGAUAACCUACCUAUAAGACUGGGAUAACUUCGGGAAACCGGAGCUAAUACCGGAUAAUAUAUUGAACCGCAUGGUUCAAUAGUGAAAGACGGUUUUGCUGUCACUUAUAGAUGGAUCCGCGCCGCAUUAGCUAGUUGGUAAGGUAACGGCUUACCAAGGCAACGAUGCGUAGCCGACCUGAGAGGGUGAUCGGCCACACUGGAACUGAGACACGGUCCAGACUCCUACGGGAGGCAGCAGUAGGGACUCUUCCGCAAUGGGCGAAAGCCUGACGGAGCAACGUCGCGUGAGUGAUGAAGGUCUUCGGAUCGUAAAACUCUGUUAUUAGGGAAGAACAAAUGUGUAAGUAACUAUGCACGUCUUGACGGUACCUAAUCAGAAAGCCACGGCUAACUACGUG